Molecule: unclassified non-coding RNA, 210 nt
Filed under: Entrophospora drummondii
Lineage: Eukaryota; Fungi; Glomeromycota; Glomeromycetes; Entrophosporales; Entrophosporaceae
Description: Claroideoglomus drummondii partial internal transcribed spacer 2
Source: RNAcentral
AAUAAUAAUUAUCAUGAAUCUUUGAUUUAUGGAAUUGGGCUUUUAUUUCGAUAGAUCUAUGGCCUUAAAUUUACGGGCUUGUCAUUAUAAAAUCUGACCUAAAGGAGCAAUUAAACAUUCUCUCAUUAGCGGAUUUUUACAAGCCGUUACGAUUUUUGGUUGUUUUCAGCACUUUUGCGAGCGCGAAACCAAGAUCGUAAGCUUACUCUA